RNAcentral lists this ribosomal RNA (253 nucleotides) under uncultured bacterium. Its description in RNAcentral is "partial 16S ribosomal RNA". It matches the Rfam family "Bacterial small subunit ribosomal RNA", at positions 524 to 776 of the family's 1533-position model. The record is from RNAcentral.
UACGGAGGGAGCUAGCGUUGUUCGGAAUUACUGGGCGUAAAGCGCACGUAGGCGGCUUUCUAAGUCAGGGGUGAAAUCCCGGGGCUCAACCCCGGAACUGCCCUUGAAACUGGAUGGCUAGAAUCCUGGAGAGGCGAGUGGAAUUCCGAGUGUAGAGGUGAAAUUCGUAGAUAUUCGGAAGAACACCAGUGGCGAAGGCGACUCGCUGGACACAUAUUGACGCUGAGGUGCGAAAGCGUGGGGAGCAAACAGG